UGUUAGCGGCGGACGGGUGAGUAACACGUGGGUAACCUACCUAUAAGACUGGGAUAACUCCGGGAAACCGGGGCUAAUACCGGAUAAUAUUUUGAACCGCAUGGUUCGAUAGUGAAAGACGGUUUCGGCUGUCACUUAUAGAUGGACCCGCGCCGUAUUAGCUAGUUGGUAAGGUAACGGCUUACCAAGGCGACGAUACGUAACUGGUCUGAGAGGAUGAUCAGUCACACUGGAACUGAGACACGGUCCAGACUCCUACGGGAGGCAGCAGUU
RNAcentral lists this ribosomal RNA (273 nucleotides) under uncultured Staphylococcus sp. RNAcentral's name for it is "partial 16S ribosomal RNA". It matches the Rfam family "Bacterial small subunit ribosomal RNA", at positions 90 to 355 of the family's 1533-position model. The record is from RNAcentral. Lineage: Bacteria; Bacillati; Bacillota; Bacilli; Caryophanales; Staphylococcaceae.